Molecule: transfer RNA, 74 nt
Filed under: Candidatus Pinguicoccus supinus
Lineage: Bacteria; Pseudomonadati; Verrucomicrobiota
Rfam family: tRNA
About the family: Transfer RNA (tRNA) molecules are approximately 80 nucleotides in length. Their secondary structure includes four short double-helical elements and three loops (D, anti-codon, and T loops).
Source: Rfam by way of RNAcentral
GGGGGAUUAACUCACUUGGUUAGAGUGUUUGUAUGACAUGCAAAAAGCAAUUGGUUCGAGUCCAAUAUUCCCCA